This 926-nucleotide unclassified non-coding RNA is filed under the name Hevea brasiliensis (rubber tree). The record is from RNAcentral. Lineage: Eukaryota; Viridiplantae; Streptophyta; Magnoliopsida; Malpighiales; Euphorbiaceae.
GUCAUAACAUCCUAAUUUAUAUACCGGCCAUCUAAGGCAUGUUUUCAAAUCAUUAAUAAGACCAACCCACACAGGAGAAAACAAAACCUAUAAACCAACUUAGAAGAGAAUCCCGGAACCCUUGAAGCCAGUCCUAAAAAGAACAAGAUAAACCACCACACCCUUUAUUGCCAGUGCUACCCCGUUAGAACAGCAUAAUGGGUUCAAGGGUUCAGUGAAUUGGUUGAUGAUUUUAUCCCAUUAGAACAAGAAAAACAACAUCCUGGCUUCGCCUCCACAUCUCUUCAAGACCAAAUUCAAAGGAUGAUGCUUUUACAAUCCCAAAUGCCACUAUUAAAGCUCCUACCCGAAUUUCAACCCUAGAAAACACCAUCCAACUUAAAAAUGAUGGAAAAGAAACCCAGAUGAGGAUAAAAUCGAUGUCUAAAUCAUUUUCCACAAUGGGUAAUACCAUUCCACAUAAUCCAUGAUCUUCCAUAUGUUUAAAUAAUAUAGUUUGCUAAUCGAACUCUCGACAGGAGAUAACACGUCUCUACUAAAAAAUUACAAACAUCAGUUGGCUUUUAUAGCUAUCAUCAUCAGAAAUUUAACUAGAAAACAUAUGGGGGUCAUGGUUUUGAUACAUACCUUAAUUUAUCUCAAAGUACCAGAAGAAUAUAUAAAACAGUAAAAUUUAUAUAUAUUCCUUCCUGCCGAAACACCAAGUUCCCUCCAUCAGGAAACGAAAAGCUUGGUUCUCUUCUCCACCUCCCUCAUUACAAGCCUUAUCAUUCUUGAUUACACAGCUAAAAUACUUGUCUUAAUAAAAGUUUGUUGAACAUAUGCUUAGCAGAUAAAAAUUCCCUGUUAGCAAACAUAAAGACUGUUUCACCAUCAGCUAUAGCUAAUGCUAUAGUAUCAUUUUUAAUUUUUAGGACCAAUGUCCU